CCCCUCAUAACACUGUUUAUUAAUUCCUGUAUCACAAUACAAAGUCAAAAGUUUCAAAAGAAAAAAGGCUAAGAAUGUAAGGCAUGAAAUACAGAAUGAUCUUCAUGAGCAACUCAAGUUACUUAAACAAGGUGAACGUGCCAAGAUGCCACUUCGCCUUCCUCUGGUUAUCUUCAGAAGUAUAACAGUAUUUUCUAAAACACACUGUUUCCAAGUAGAAUCUUUAAGCAUCAAAACAUUAUUUUACUCAACACUCAAGGAAGCAAGAAGUAAAAAUUAUGCUACAUGAAACUAUUUUCUUAGAGCAAAACACAUACUGAAUUCUUGAUACAACAAAAUGAAACUAAUCUGAGACUGAAGAUUCUGGUGGAUGCCUGUUGCUAUGCCAUGAGUCACUCUCUAAGACGUAAAGAACACAAUCACUCU
This 426-nucleotide long non-coding RNA is filed under the name Bos taurus (domestic cattle). RNAcentral describes it as "long non-coding RNA NONBTAT008957". Lineage: Eukaryota; Metazoa; Chordata; Mammalia; Artiodactyla; Bovidae. The record is from RNAcentral.